RNAcentral lists this ribosomal RNA (497 nucleotides) under uncultured bacterium. Its description in RNAcentral is "partial 16S ribosomal RNA". It matches the Rfam family "Bacterial small subunit ribosomal RNA", at positions 28 to 507 of the family's 1533-position model. The record is from RNAcentral.
GAUGAACGCUGGCGGCGUGCCUAAUACAUGCGAGUCGAGCGAACGGACGAGAAGCUUGCUUCUCUGAUGUUAGCGGCGGACGGGUGAGUAACACGUGGAUAACCUACCUAUAAGACUGGGAUAACUUCGGGAAACCGGAGUUAAUACCGGAUAAUAUUUUGAACCGCAUGGUUCAAAAGUGAAAGACGGUCUUGCUGUCACUUAUAGAUGGAUCCGCGCUGCAUUAGCUAGUUGGUAAGGUAACGGCUUACCAAGGCAACGAUGCAUAGCCGACCUGAGAGGGUGAUCGGCCACACUGGAACUGAGACACGGUCCAGACUCCUACGGGAGGCAGCAGUAGGGAAUCUUCCGCAAUGGGCGAAAGCCUGACGGAGCAACGCCGCGUGAGUGAUGAAGGUCUUCGGAUCGUAAAACUCUGUUAUUAGGGAAGAACAUAUGUGUAAGUAACUGUGCACAUCUUGACGGUACCUAAUCAGAAAGCCACGGCUAACUACGUG